CCUACGGGGGGCUGCAGUGGGGAAUAUUGCACAAUGGGGGAAACCCUGAUGCAGCGACGCCGCGUGAGUGAAGAAGUAUUUCGGUAUGUAAAGCUCUAUCAGCAGGGAAGAUAAUGACGGUACCUGACUAAGAAGCCCCGGCUAACUACGUGCCAGCAGCCGCGGUAAUACGUAGGGGGCAAGCGUUAUCCGGAUUUACUGGGUGUAAAGGGUGCGUAGGUGGCAGGGCAAGUCAGAUGUGAAAGCCCGGGGCUCAACCCCGGUACUGCAUUUGAAACUGUCCAGCUGGAGUGCAGGAGAGGUAAGCGGAAUUCCUAGUGUAGCGGUGAAAUGCGUAGAUAUCGAGAGGAACACUCGUGGCGAAGGCGGGUUCCUGGACAUUAACUGACGCUGAGGCACGAAGGCCAGGGGAGCGAAAGGGAUUAGAUACCCGAGUAGUC
This 440-nucleotide ribosomal RNA is filed under the name uncultured bacterium. RNAcentral's name for it is "partial 16S ribosomal RNA". It matches the Rfam family "Bacterial small subunit ribosomal RNA", at positions 338 to 795 of the family's 1533-position model. The record is from RNAcentral.